GGAAUCUUGCUGUGUUGCCCAGGCUGGAGUGCAGCAGCUGUUCACAGACGAGGUGGUAGCACAGGGAAGCCUUGAACCGGACUCAAGAGAUCCUCCUGCCUCAGCCUCCAGAGUAGCUGGGACUACAGGCACGCACUACUGCGUCUGCCUUAGAGCAUGUGUUAAGAAGACGAGACGAGGUCUUGCAAAGUUGCCCCGGCUGGUCUUGGAUUUCUAGCCUCAAGUGAUCCUCCCGCUUC
This 239-nucleotide long non-coding RNA is filed under the name Homo sapiens (human). RNAcentral's name for it is "HSALNT0124253". Lineage: Eukaryota; Metazoa; Chordata; Mammalia; Primates; Hominidae. The record is from RNAcentral.